CAGGGCAGAGCAGUCCCAAGGUGUGUUGUCACUUGUCUGUCGUGCUUUCUGUGUCUUCCGUUCAUCUCAUGUAACAUGUCUCUUGCCUUAGUCCUCCCAGGAGCUUAUGAGAAACCCCAAGUCCUUCCGGUCAUCUCCCAUCUUUGCGUUCCUCGGCCCGGGGCCGACGCCGGCGAAGUUUCGAUUCGGGAGGUCAGACAGGCGUCAGAAUCGCAUCUCUGUUCAGCAGCAUCCGAUCGGAUGUCUUUUUAGUUCUUGUUCUCAGCUGUGUUGACAGCUGUGUGCAGUCAUCUUUCUUUAUAGUGGAUAAGGACUUGUGCCGAUUCAAAGGCAGGCAGAGGCUUCCAGCCACAGGAUUCUCAGGCAUCCGUGUCUGCGGUUCUCGGAAUAAGUCGUUCCGUUAGCAUCUUUUUCCUCCGGGGUCAUCCGAGCCCGGCGGGCUCGCCUUUGGUCCCCCCUCGGUCAUCUCGUUCAGCAUUUUCUCGGUCCUCGUGAGGACUUUCUCGUCUCAGAGAGUUUUCUCUCCCUGUUGUGUCCCCUCGUCUCACGUGUCACGGGUGUCUGGGGGUAUUCGGUCCGGAACUGCUCUGCCCUGCCGCCCGGCCCCGUUGCAGGUGUUCAAGGACAAGUCCCGGGCACUUGUAAUUGGAGACUCGUAAUACGGGCUGUAGUUGGAGUCUAGGUAGUAUUCUUAUGUUGGCAGAAGGUGUCUGGAGCUGUGAAGUUACCCUGCAGCACUUUGACUUUUUUCCUAACUUUCUUUCAGAUGCGGAUGGAUCGACCUCCCGGCAGAGCGCCCCGUCCCAGAUGAGGCGAUCCCCCUGAGAAGGAAGUAAAGCUGGAUAGCAGCAGUGAAGGCGAAGCAUUGUGAAGGCUGCCUCCUGAUGUUGUGCUGAGGCCCCCUCACUGACCUGCCAAGAGACCCGGUUUGCUUCUCCGGUGAGCCCCAGCAAAUGUUACCGGAGUCCGUGACGAAGCCUCGACCUCGUCCACGUGAAGGCGUGCCUUGCGACGACGGCAUCCGCCUCGGAGCGUGGCCGAAGCGUGCGGCCCGAGGACCCGGGCGUUCCUAAGAGACGGUGAUGAUACUUGUCUGAGACAACAGCCCGGCGAGAGAAGAACUUCCCAGAUGGCGAGGUGGCUUCGUUUGGCUCCUGACUGGCCUCUCGCCGUGACUCACGUCUUCAGCCAUCCGAGAGAUAAGCGGAGCCCGCAGAGGGGAUCAAAGCAGGGCGGCGUGUCGGGACUCAGAUCGGUUUGGGUUUUUGAGUGAGCUUUGGGGAUGGGGAGGCUCUAGAAAUGACCCCAUAGGCCCCAUUGAGGGAAAGCCUCACUUUGGCUCGCAGUGCUGAGGCGGGCAGGGCAGAGCAGUCCCAGGGUGUGUCGUCACAUGUCUCUUGUGCCUUCCGUGUCUUCCGUGCAUCUCGUGUAACAUGUCUCUUGCCUUAGUCCUCCCAGGGGCUUUUGAGAAACCCCGGGGUCCUUCUGGUCAUCUCCCAUCUUUGCGUU
Long non-coding RNA from Poecile atricapillus (Black-capped chickadee), 1509 nucleotides. RefSeq lists it as uncharacterized. The record is from RefSeq and is a predicted model, not a curated record. The transcript has 5 exons. Lineage: Eukaryota; Metazoa; Chordata; Aves; Passeriformes; Paridae.